Pelobates cultripes (western spadefoot toad) is the source of this 412-nucleotide non-coding RNA. NCBI's taxonomy places the organism in Eukaryota, Metazoa, Chordata, Amphibia, Anura, Pelobatidae. The record is from the annotation of a GenBank genome assembly.
GUCCAAAACGCGUUUCGCCAACAACCUGGCUUCCUCAGUUGGUUGAAAAGUGGUCCGGCUUCUUUUGGAUGGAUUUAUACCCCCAUUGAUUUUAUUGCGUCCAUGUGACCGGAAGUAAUUGUCAUGGAACGCACAAUCCGUCCGGUCAUGUGUCCCAAUACUCGCGAACCCGGAAGUGCAGUGCCCCUGCAAUCAUGUGGCUUAACUUCCUGUCCUGUGGACGCAUUCAUGCGUUCCUUUUCCCUUUUAAGGUCGUUAUAGGUGUUAUAACACUCUAUGUUAUAUCAUUGCAGGUCAUACACAAUCCCUCAAAGAAAAAAGAAAUAAUAAACAGCAGCAGAAGUCCAAUUUAUCCAAAAUUUCAAUAAACCAAAGACAAUCUUUAAAAUUAUGGGCAAACUAUAAAGUGAUC